RNAcentral lists this ribosomal RNA (1013 nucleotides) under Pseudoniphargus sp. 1-Murcia. RNAcentral describes it as "16S ribosomal RNA". The stretch from base 612 to 966 matches the Rfam family "Archaeal large subunit ribosomal RNA", at positions 2150 to 2716 of the family's 2987-position model. Lineage: Eukaryota; Metazoa; Arthropoda; Malacostraca; Amphipoda; Allocrangonyctidae. The record is from RNAcentral.
UACUGCUUUUUUUAACUAUUUUGUGCAAGAAUAUAUUAUAGUACCUUUUGUAUCAGGGUUGUUUAAUUAAAAGAGUGAUUUAUAUUUCUCGAUAUUAAAUGAGUUAAAUAAUAAUUUCUGUGUUGAAUAACUGUGUUAAUUUAUUUAGUAGUGAAAAUUUUUCGUAGUUAAAGGUAUCUUGUUAUUGUAGUGUCAUAAUAGAAGGGUAAGCUUUUUAUUUAAGUAUAUAGUUAUGUGCGUGUGAUAAAUUAGGAUUAAAAUUAGCCAUAUUGUUAAAUUGUUUUAAAUUUUUUAUGUCCCGGAGGAUAGAAAUUGCUUACAGGCGUAAUUAAUGGAUAUAAAGUAAUUUAAUUUAUAAUGAGUAAAUUAGUAUUUUUGUAUUUCUAUAAAUUAUAACUCGCAGUUUGUAGAAUAGUUUAUCAAAAACAUUUUUUUAUUUAUAUGAAAUAUGGCCUGCCCAGUGUAGGAUAAACGGCUGCGGUAUUUUGACUGUGCUAAGGUAGCAUAAUAAUUUGUUUUUUAAUUGAAGGCUGGAAUGAAGGGUUUUAUCUAUGAUUAGGUUAAGUAUAGAGUAAAUAAUUUGUGUUUGUAGUAAAAACACUGCAAUUUAGUAAAGUGACGAUAAGACCCUAUAAGCUUUACUUAUUAAAUAAACGGGGUUAAUAAUUUAAUAUUUUUUUAUUUAUUGAGUUUUGCUGGGGCAGCAGUGUUAUUUAAUUUAACAGGAAAGUUACACAGAUAUGUGAGUGUAUGAUCUUUAAGAUUAAGAUAGGAAGGAAAAGUUACUGUAGGGAUAACAGCGCGAUAAUUUUGGAGAGGCCUUAUUGAUGAUAUUGAUUGCGACCUCGAUGUUGAAUUAAAAUUUCUUUUUGCUGCAGCAGGUAAGGAAGAGGGUUUGUUCAACCUUUAAAUUUUUACAUGAUUUGAGUUCAAAUCGGUUUAAGCCAGAUUGGUUUCUAUCUUUUAUAUAAUAUGAUUUGUGUAAGUACGAAAGGGACACGUAAAUUUUACUA